CCACGAGAAUUUAGCAGAGAUGCUUUAGUGCCUUCGGGAACUCUGAGACAGGUGCUGCAUGGCUGUCGUCAGCUCGUGUUGUGAAAUGUUGGGUUAAGUCCCGCAACGAGCGCAACCCUUAUCCUUUGUUGCCAGCACGUAAUGGUGGGAACUCAAAGGAGACUGCCGGUGAUAAACCGGAGGAAGGUGGGGAUGACGUCAAGUCAUCAUGGCCCUUACGAGUAGGGCUACACACGUGCUACAAUGGCGCAUACAAAGAGAAGCGACCUCGCGAGAGCAAGCGGACCUCAUAAAGUGCGUCGUAGUCCGGAUUGGAGUCUGCAACUCGACUCCAUGAAGUCGGAAUCGCUAGUAAUCGUAAAUCAGAAUGUUACGGUGAAUACGUUCCCGGGCCUUGUACACACCGCCCGUCACACCAUGGGAGUGGGUUGCAAAAGAAGUAGAUAGCUUAACCUUCGGGAGGGCGUUUACCACUUUGUGAUUCAUGACUGGGGUGAAGUCGUAACAAGGUAAGCGUAGUGCU
This 523-nucleotide ribosomal RNA is filed under the name uncultured bacterium. RNAcentral's name for it is "bacterial SSU rRNA". It matches the Rfam family "Bacterial small subunit ribosomal RNA", at positions 988 to 1509 of the family's 1533-position model. The record is from RNAcentral.